GAUGAACGCUAGCUGCAGGCUUAACACAUGCAAGUCGAGGGGAAACGACAUCGAAAGCUUGCUUUUGAUGGGCGUCGACCGGCGCACGGGUGAGUAACGCGUAUCCAACCUGCCCAUCACUUGGGAAUAACCUUGCGAAAGUAAGACUAAUACCCAAUGACAUCCCACGAAGACAUCUGAAUGGGAUUAAAGAUUUAUCGGUGAUGGAUGGGGAUGCGUCUGAUUAGCUUGUUGGCGGGGUAACGGCCCACCAAGGCAACGAUCAGUAGGGGUUCUGAGAGGAAGGUCCCCCACAUUGGAACUGAGACACGGUCCAAACUCCUACGGGAGGCAGCAGUGAGGAAUAUUGAUCAAUGGGCGAGAGCCUGAACCAGCCAAGUAGCGUGCAGGAUGACGGCCCUAUGGGUUGUAAACUGCUUUUAUAAGGGAAUAAAGUGGGUCUCGUGAGACUUUUUGCAUGUACCUUAUGAAUAAGGACCGGCUAAUUCCGUG
RNAcentral lists this ribosomal RNA (492 nucleotides) under uncultured bacterium. RNAcentral describes it as "partial 16S ribosomal RNA". It matches the Rfam family "Bacterial small subunit ribosomal RNA", at positions 28 to 507 of the family's 1533-position model. The record is from RNAcentral.